Long non-coding RNA from Monopterus albus (swamp eel), 1118 nucleotides. RefSeq lists it as uncharacterized. The transcript has 4 exons. NCBI's taxonomy places the organism in Eukaryota, Metazoa, Chordata, Actinopteri, Synbranchiformes, Synbranchidae. The record is from RefSeq and is a predicted model, not a curated record.
GAACGAAGAGAAAAGUUGCUGUGUCCGACUCAGGGAAGUUCCCAACUAUCAGUACCAGUGUGUGAAACAGUGGGGAGAUGAGCACAGCCGUAGAGAUGGAGCACAUUCAGCCUGAAGAGUGACAAACAUGGAAACAGGAAGUGUAAUUAUUCGCCCCACACCCCAGUGCUUCAUGCUGACUGAACAAUGUCUGCCACAGCUCAAUGGAGAAUUUCUGCACAAGGUGAAAAAUGUGUUGAGGCCACAUGAGGUGACAGAAAGGCUACUGCAGCUGUACAGGCACAGACUGCGGGGACGACAGUUGCCCACAAACAGCAGCCACCUCUCUGUCAGGGUGGAGUCUUCAAUCCUCAGACUUUUCCCUUGAGAAAAAGAAAAACAGAUUUUAUUUUCAGUAUAUCAACUUCAAGACUUUGGCUCUGACCUACAGUGUGUGCACAGCUAUGAAAGCAUGUGAUGGUGCAGGUCUGGGUUAUCUUACAGCGUGUUUGUCCAGGGUGUGGUACAGUACGCCACUGCAAUGGAAGUAAUCAGCUUACAUUAUAAGAACACACUAUGUGCUGCUACCUGGAAAACUUCUGGUCAUCCCACUUUCCUAGGUCAUUGUGGUGGCACACUCACUGAGCUUUAAAAGAUAAUGUUUCCACAACAGUCAUACACUCCAAACAGCAAAAGCUGCGAAGCACUAACUGUAGCUGAAACAUUUCCAGCCAACCUUUUUCAAGUGAUAACCUUCUACGGGGGAGUGGGCAGACUCACACAGUGUGUGAUCCAUAGCCAGGGUGUGCAGGCGGCUGCACACCUGCAGCACUCUGCACAAAUCACGAUGAGGCAGAAGAGACAGGAUGCACAACCACACCUCAUCAGGCAGACGCAGCCAGCGGUCACAUACAGGGACACCUGCUGGCUAAUAGGUGUAAUGACAACACAUUGGUAUAGAAAUACAAUAAAAUUCACAAGAAUGAAAUACGUGCUAAAAAAGAAGAAUUAUUUUAACACAAUAUCUUCUUUCUAUUUGAAAGCACACAAAAGUACUUUUACGUCAGACAUUUAAAAAGGUUUUCACAUGAAAUUAGAGGCACAACCAUGUUGGGAUAAACAAAGUGAUGAUGUACAGA